CCAAGAAAUAGCAAAAAGUCCAAAAAAAAAAAAAAGGACAAAGUUAAGAAGCAAAAAUUAACCAGGAACAUUACCAAGGCAAAGAAGACAAAGCUAUAAUGUUUUUAAUAUAACAAGGUGCAUAAAAAUCAAUAAAACUUCCCAGAAGGUAAGAGGCAGAUGACAUGAAAAACAAUUAAUAAGGAAAUUUUAAAAAUUUGUUAUCAGAUCUAGGAAAAUAGUCUCCUUACCAAUAAUCAAAAAAAUUAAAACUAAAGCAAGGAAAUACCAUUUUGGCUAUCAUAUUAGUUACAUUUAAUAGGAAAUGUGAACAUCAGAAUUUGGAGAGUAACCAGGCAAAAAGACACAAUCAUUUACACAUUCUGGCAGCAUGGAUAAAGAGCCUCCGGGAUGUUCUACUUAAACAUUCUCCUUUUGAAAAUAUUGAAAGUUACAGAUGACAAAUAUAAAAAUCAUUUCAUUUCAGAGUUUUUCAUUGCAUUGUUAUUUAUAAUAGUGAAAGCUUAGAAAUGUCCUAACAUUGGAUAACAAUAUUUAAAUAUUGUAUAAGUUAUGGAUCUUUUGUAUGGUAUAAUUUCAGUUAAAAAUAUGAAGACAAUUCUUAUUAUAUGAUUAACCAAAAUGUUACAGAAAUGUAUGUCUAUUAUUUUCUCAAUUAAGUCAAGGACAAAACCUCUUAGAGAAAGAGGAGGGAAAUGAUGUAUAAUAACAGUGGUUUUCUUUAGUGGAGAGAUGGUGAGUGUUUCUUUUCUUCUUUUUCUUAUUUGUAUGUUUUACCAAUUUACUCUAAGGAUUAUGCGUUUUUCUGAAGUAAAGAAAAAUGAGAUGGACCAGAUCUUAAAAACUAAAAAAAAAAAAAAAAAUCACAAACCUGUUCCAAUAAAUCAUAAUCACUCACUGUCACAGUCUUAGUUUUUUUUUCUUUCUUUAUAUUUUUUUCUACUGCACAGCAUAGUGACCCAGUUACACAUAAAUGUAUACAUUGUAUUUUCUCACAUUAAGUGUUCCAUAAUAGUUGACUAGACAGAGUUCCCAGUGCUACACAGCAGGAUCCCAUUGCUAAUCCAUUCCAAAGGCAAAAUUCUGCAUCUAUUUACCCCAAACUCUCACUCCCUCCCACUCCCUCCCCUUCCCCCUUGGCAACCACAAGUCUAUUCUCCAACUCCAUGAUUUUCUUUUUUUGUGGAAAUGGUCCUUUGUGCCAUAUGUUAGAUUUCAGAUAUAAGGGAUAUCAUAUGGUAUUUGUCUUUCUCUUUCUGACUUACUUCACUCAGGAUGAGAGUUACUAGUUCCAUUCAUGUUGCUGCAAAUGGCAUUAUUUUGUUCUUUUUUAUGCCCAAGUAGUAUUCCAUGUGUAUAUAUACCACAUCUUCCUAAUCCAAUCAUCUAUCAAUUGAAAUUUGUAUUGUUUCCACAUCUUGGCUAUUAUGAAUAGUGCUGCAAUGAACAUGCGGGUGCAUGUGUCUUUUUAUAAGUAGAGAUUUUUUUUCUGGAUACAUGCCCAAAAGUUGGAUUCCUGGGUCAUGUAUCAGUUCUAAGUAUGAUCUUCUAAGGUACCUCCAUAUCAUUGUCCAUAGUGGUUGUACUAGCUUCCAUUCUCAACAACAGUGCAGGAGGGUUCUUAGUUUUUUUGUUUUUUUCUUGCCACACCUGUGAUGUAUGGAAGUUCCCAGGCUGUGGGUUGAAUAGGGACCUGCAGCUAGGACCUAUGCCACAGCUAUGGCAAGGCUGGAUUCAGGCCACAUCUAAGACCUAUGCUUUACCUUGCAGCAAUGCCAGAUCCUUAACCUGCUGAGGCCAGUGAGGCCAUGGAUCAAACCCACAUCCUCCCAGACACUAUCUUGGGUUCUUAACCUAAUUUGCCACAGAGGGAAUGCCUCACAGUCUUAGUUCUAAUCCCAGUUGGGUGAUUUUUGACCAGCGCAAAUAUAUCAGUGCCUGGUUUCCUCUCCUAGAAUUAUUAUUGCUCACUUAUUCCCAGAAAUUAGUGCUCCUUUUUGGUUCAACUUUCUCUCUCUGUAGCUUAAUCCCUGUAAGUGAGGUGUUUCUAGAGCUGGGCUUGGAAAUGGCCCCUGAUAUUUGGGCAUUUGACCCUUUUAGAUAUAUAUUGUCAACAUUUAUUGUAAUGAAUGGGCAGGUUAACUAUAGACUGACUUGUGACUUGGGCUUCCUCUGAGUAGCUACAUUCUGUCUGAUGUCAUCCUUUGAUGAUUUCCACUCUCUGGUUUAAGUCUGCUUCAUCAUCAAUACCCAAUAAUCAAGUCACCUACAGGGAUUGCUGUAUACUCCUCAUCCAGGCUGUAGCUCUUUCCUUGGCCAGUGGAUCCUAAUCCAGUCCCACCAAGUCAGGCAUUCUUCCUUCUUCAAACCUGUUUGGAAUGAUGAGAACCAUCCUGCUUUGAGGUUUUCAAUGUAAUGAUGAAAAUGUACUGGAAGAAGGCAUUUCUUGGAGCCUGAGCUUCUACUGUGGGAGAUGCCCUUGGACUGAGUAGAACUUUUCCCCCAGUUGAAGAAUUUGCACAAAGUCUCCUUCAUAUCCCUGUUCCUCAGGCUGUAGAUAAAGGAGUUCAGCAUUGGAGUGACCACUAUAUUUACCACAGAGACCACCAUUCCUGUGCCUGCAGAGUAGGAAGAGGAGGGCUUGAAAUACACCAGAAAGAGGGUCUCAUAGAUGAGAGUGACUACUGUAGAAGACUUUGUGCUUUCCCACUGCAGAGGGAACCCUGAAAAUGGUGUUGAUGAUGUGGGCAUAAGAGACCAGGACACAGGUGAGAGGGAUAUUGCCCAAGAGAAUGGCUUCAUUUAACAUGGUGACCUGAAGGCAAGUUUGAGGAGUGGGGGCACAUCACAGAAGAAGUGUGGGAUGGAAUGGGAGGCACAGAAGGAGAAGUGAGACAUGAGGCGAGUGAGUGAGCAGGCCAGGAGGUGGGCACAGAGCCAAGAUGUGGUGACCAGCAGCAGACAGCACUGGGGACACAUAAUCAUGUUGUGGUAGAGAGGGAGGCAGAUGGGCACACAGCGGCCAUAUGACAUCACAGCCAGCAGGAAGUCACUGAGCAGGGUUAAUGCCAUGAAGAAGUACAUCUACAUGAGGCACCCAGCAUAGGAGAUGGUGUGAUGCUGUUUAUGGAUGUUGAUAAGCACCUUGGGGACAAUGCCUCAGGAGAAGCAGGUGUUGAUUAAGGACAGGUUGGCCAGAAAGAAGUACAUGGGGAUGUGGAGUUGAGGGUCAGAGCCAAUGGCCAGGAUGAUGAGUAGUUUCCCUAUCACAGUGACCAGGUACAUAGCCAGGUGGAGCCCAAACAGGAGAGGAUGCUGCUCUUGGUGUGGAGAGAAGGCCAUGAUCAGGAAGUCAGAGAUGCUGGUUUGAUUUCUGAUUCCCACUGAAAGUAGAAAAAUUUGUGGAAAAUAUUGCUUAAAUACCUGUAGACUCCAAAAAUUUGUAUCAUUCAAAGUCUUUUGUCUGAUUUUCUGAUUUUUUUUAAUGUCACAGAGAUACUCUGGUAUCUCUUGCUGGUGGGCAUGUAAACAUGUACAGAGAUGAGAACUCAGUACAAUGAUUAGGAGACCUGCUGGGGGUGAACUCUGCAUUUUAGCUGUCCACUAGGUGGUCCUGUAGACUUCCCAGAGGAGGUUGAACUGGAGAUUAGCUAGGAAGAGGAUUCCUAAGUCUUAGUCCACACCUACCUGUUUAAACAGGAAAGCUAGGGAUUUCAUAGGCUUGUGAAGUUGAAUAAGGUGUCUGUGGGGGUAUGUAUUUACUAGAAAAUUCUUAAGGAUAGUUCUCUGUGUGUUUGUCUCUCUUAUAUGUCUCUCUCUGUGUGUGUACAGUGUGUUGUUCAAGAGUAAAGAAGGGAUGCUCAUUACAUAGAAAGGUCAUAGUAGCACUCAGAUAUUCUUGGCAUGGUGGGAUUAUUUGUACUCAUUUUUUUUGAAGAUCCAUCAAAUGAGAAAAUGUGUAUAAAGUUACUUUAUAAACUCAAAGAUAUUUUAUAAACAAGCAUUCCUAUCAUCAUCAACGUCAUCACCAACAUCAUCACCAUCAUCAUCAUCACUAUUAUCAUCAUUAUCAGCAUCAUCAUCAUUAUCUUUAUCGUCAUCACCAAUGUCAAAAUUAUCUAAUCCUCAGUCCUUAGGAAUAUUGUCUUUGGCAUUUUAUAGACUAUUUGGGAGUCCUUUCUGGCUGUGUUAUCCUCUGCAACAUACACAUCCUCAGGUCCUCUUUUUACUUCAGUUUCCUCAUCUGUAAAUUGUGUGCCCACUUUUUCUACUUAUCACAGAUGAGUGAAAUGAUAUAUUCAAAGCACUAACACAGAGUAGGUCUUCAAUAAAUUGUGAUACUUGUUAUUAAUAUUUCUAGAAACAGUAGUAGAUAAAAUAGAAACUGAGCUUCCUGAUUC
RNAcentral lists this long non-coding RNA (4400 nucleotides) under Sus scrofa (pig). RNAcentral's name for it is "lncRNA (ENSSSCG00000054740.1)". Lineage: Eukaryota; Metazoa; Chordata; Mammalia; Artiodactyla; Suidae. The record is from RNAcentral.